GUUAGUGUUUUUUUAAUCCUGUGCUCCUCCAAGGGUUUAAAAGGCAUGACGCUUUUUCCAGGAAGGAGGCAGGAAGUGAGCAGAGUAGAGGAACUGUCACUCAUGGUGUCGGAGAGUGGUGUUGCUAGCUGCGGGUAGUAUUUGUUUGACGCACGAUAGUGUUUAUGAUUUAUUAUGAAUCUUGUUCACUCUCAUCUACAGAGUACGUUGAUCUCGGACUUUGAUAUUGGCUCAUUGGCUGAAUCUUGUUACACUCAGGUGUCUAGUACGUUUGUGUGCUUUUGGUUUAAUAACUCAACCUAUGUGCCACGACAGGCAUUACCAAGAAGGGAAAGGUAAGCACGUCACGUGACAUACAUUCUGCUACACGUAGGUUGUGUCUGAUGUUGAAGACAUUAGUUUAGAAGUGUGUGCCACCCACUGUAUUUUUGUUCAAAGAUCGUUAGAGUAGAUUAGAUUAGAUUCAACUUUAUUGUCAUUACACAUAUACAAGUACAGUGUAACGAAAUGUAGUUUAGGUCUAACCAGAAGAGCAAUUAGCAAGUGCAGGAUAUACAGUGUGAAUAAAUACAGAAUACAAUAUUAGGAAAAUACUAUACAAUGGGCAUGUACUAUGAAAAUAUGACAGUCGGUAUGUACUAUGAACAAUAUAAACAGAAGGCUAUAUACUGUGAACAUUAAUGUACAGGUGGUUAUGAACAGAUAACAAUAUAGACUAUACAAUAGUGCAAGUGACUUGAGUGUGCAUUAGUUACAGACAUUAGCAAUUAAAGUUACAGUGCAGUAGAUGAGUUGAUGCGGUUAUUAAAGGUACGGUGCAGUACAUGAGUUAAUGCAGUUAUUGAAGUUAUAGUGCAAUACAUGAGGAGAUGCAGUUAUACAUUUACAGUGCAGUAGAUGAGUUAGUGCAGUUAUUGAAGUUACAGUGCAGUAGAUGCUUUAAUGCGGUUAUUAAGGUUACAGUGCAGUAGAUGAGUUAAUGCAGUUAUUGAAGUUAUAGUGCAAUAGAUGAGUAGAUGCAGUUAGUUAUGCAAUAGAUGCAGUAAUGCAAUAGAGUAGGGAUUAGUAAUCCAAGUAGUCUUGGGUCCCGAAGACUUCUUUUUCUUACUUUUGUUUUGUAGUGAGGUUAGAAUUAUUACUUAAUAAGAUAUAGUAUGUUUUAUUAUAUUGAGUUCUUUGUUUUGGCACAGAUUGACGUCCCUUCUUUUCUGUGUUUGUAUUAUGUUUAUUAAUCACCCUUAGCACCUGUAAAUAAACACGUUAUUUACAGUCCUCUUUGGUCUUCAUUUUUCCUCUCCUUGGUCCUCAUUACCAUUACCCUUCAAUUCAAUUCAAUUCAAGUUUAUUUAUAUAGCGCUUUUCACAAUGUGUAUUGUUUCAAAGCAGCUUUACAGGGGCAAACAGGAAAAACAGAUAAGUUAGAACACAGCACAGUGCAUGGUGUUUAUACAACGAGUAAGAUCAUUCUAAUAAAUAAUAUCUAAUUUAUAAAUAAAUAAAUGAAUGAAUGCAGUCUCCCGGUGAGCAGGCCAACACUGCCCUGCUGUGGCGAGGAACACAAACUCCAAUGAUUGAUUAAUGGAGAAAAAAACCUCGGGAGAAACCAGGCUCAACUGGGAGGGCCAGAUCCCCUCUGACGUGUCAUAGCUGCACUCAAACUGUGGUCUGAGCUGAUGGUCUGAUGGUCAUAUUUCUCUUGGCUGGUGGUGGAAUUGCCUUGGAUGGAGCUGGGAUGGUCAAUCAGUCUGCAGCUGUAGCUGGCGUAAUCUCAAAUUGGGGAUGGGCAUCUGUCAGUCGUCUGGACACGGUGGAACUUCUUCUUACCUCGGGAUGGGCAUCCCGAGGCAGAGGCGGAAAGAGAAUAAAGAGAAUAAUUAGCGUAGCUGCUGUUCCUUGAAACCGUAUGUGCAUAUCCAUGCCAGUUACUGACCCAAAUCAAUCGGGAUGUAACAUGUUUGGGGGCUCGUCCGGGAUAGGUUACAUAUAGGUCAUAGGAGUAAUAUUCAAAUUGACAAGGAUUGAGAUAGUUGUGAAUUUGUUUUUUUUGGUAAUAUCUGAUGUUGUGGAAACCACAGCUUGUGUGGAGUAUUACGUUACUAGUGUUUGUAUUGUUUAAAUGAGCAAAUAUGGCUUCCUUUGAAUUGCAAACAUUCAUUACUGACCCAACUGUAGGGCAGUUAGAGUUGAGUUAGAAGGCAGAACAUUUUACGUUUUCUCUGGGUAAACAAAUGCGUAAAACUGAAUCGAAAGUGGUAAUUAUACAACGUUUAGUUGAACUGAAUCUAUUGCCUAUGCCGGAUGUUGAGUAAGAUGGGGUUUCCCACAUGGCUGACUUUAGUGUUGAGCAUAGAAGUUCGAAGUGGCGAAGAGGAGGCCGAUGUCAAGUUUAACAUGUUUCCCCGGGUGUGGUCCUCUCCUUGGUCUAUCGAUCCCGGAAAUGACGCACGCAUUAAAAUCCAGGAAAUCCGCAUGCACUUAGAAGCUCAGGAAAGAGCCCAGACAUUUUUGUCUGGUUUGUUUUGUCUCCCUUUCGGGAAGUAUCUUAGUUUGUUCCCUUGUUUUGAUUUGCUCUGCUGUCUAAGAUGACUUGAAAUGUUUAAUACCUGGUGUGUUGAUGGAAUGGACCAGCCUAGUGACAAAGAGAUUCAAACAGGAAGUUGAUCUGUUUUAUGGGAAUUCUAAGGAAAUUAGACUGUACCAAGUUUUAAGUAUUAGAGGGGACAUUGGAAAAUGUGAUGUCUUGAUCAAUGUGAGUUUGUUUAAUAUAAUUAUUGUAGUAGAGUAGGCGGGGCGAGACCGUGGUUCGAGUCCGGCGAGUAAUUGUGAAUGAGCGCCAGCUGUGCGCACACCGGGCUCGAAUCACGUAAGAGAUUGGGAGCAUAUAAAAGGAACGAGCGACCGGACCGUCGAAGAGAGAGGACUGGGCCCGAACUUGUGUUUAUAUUUGUAUUUAUGUUAUUUCGCCGGCGGUCGUCCUUGAGGCGCGGCCGGCUGUUAUUAUUUCUGUUAUUAAAUGUUUAAAUGUU
Molecule: long non-coding RNA, 3026 nt
Organism: Triplophysa dalaica
Lineage: Eukaryota; Metazoa; Chordata; Actinopteri; Cypriniformes; Nemacheilidae
Exons: 2
Source: RefSeq, a predicted model, not a curated record